GGAUGUGAGGGCAAUCUGGCUGUGACAUCUGUCACCCCACUGAUUGCCAGGGUUGAUUCGGCUGAUCUGGCUGGCUGGGCGGGUGUCCCCUUCCUCCCUCACCACCCCAUGUGCGCCCCUCCCAAAGCUGCACGCUCAGUCAAAGAGGGCGACCUUCCCUGAAUGGAGCAGGACCAGACAAGGGUGUACGAGCAGCUGCGCUCCCCUGCUAGAACCUCCAAACCGGCUCUCAAAUAAAAUGAAUACAUUAAAAAAAAGAAAAUCAGCCGUGCCUGGUGGCCCAUGCCUUU
RNAcentral lists this small nuclear RNA (290 nucleotides) under Jaculus jaculus (lesser Egyptian jerboa). Its description in RNAcentral is "7SK RNA (ENSJJAG00000008079.1)". It matches the Rfam family "7SK RNA". From Rfam's summary of the family: 7SK was discovered as an abundant small nuclear RNA in the mid-70s but a possible function has only recently been suggested. Lineage: Eukaryota; Metazoa; Chordata; Mammalia; Rodentia; Dipodidae. The record is from Rfam by way of RNAcentral.